Molecule: ribosomal RNA, 253 nt
Filed under: uncultured bacterium
Lineage: Bacteria
Description: partial 16S ribosomal RNA
Rfam family: Bacterial small subunit ribosomal RNA
Source: RNAcentral
UACGUAGGGUGCGAGCGUUAAUCGGAAUUACUGGGCGUAAAGCGUGCGCAGGUGGCGUCGCAAGUCAGGCGUGAAAGCCCCGGGCUUAACCUGGGAAUUGCGCUUGAAACUACGGUGCUAGAGUACGGCAGAGGGAGGUGGAAUUCCACGUGUAGCGGUGAAAUGCGUAGAGAUGUGGAGGAACACCGAUGGCGAAGGCAGCCUCCUGGGCCGAUACUGACGCUGAGGUGCGAAAGCGUGGGGAGCAAACAGG